This 11093-nucleotide long non-coding RNA is filed under the name Homo sapiens (human). Its description in RNAcentral is "HSALNT0153344". Lineage: Eukaryota; Metazoa; Chordata; Mammalia; Primates; Hominidae. The record is from RNAcentral.
GUCCCUCUAGUUCGCGUUAGGCACACUGCAGACUCCGCCUUCUCCAGUCUGCGGUGCUGGCUGUGGCUUACUUUUCUCUCCUCAAAGCGACAGUUAGGAAGUGGAGAGGCAUUCUAUGAGUGUUCUCGUCGGUUCUGUUUUGGAAGCUUCAGAAUCUUCUCGGGUUGGCUCAGAUUGCUGCAAAAUAAAAGCUGUACUUCUUGGGGCCAGAGAGGCACCGUCCUUCGGGGGACUCUGGCCCGCGUCCUGGCUCCGCCCCGUACUGGCCUCGGACCUCGGGGAGCGUUUUUAUCUGAAGUUUCCACGUCGGAAAGGGAUCGUAGUCUACCGAGAGCUGUUCCGAGCCCAGAGGAGAAAUUGUGUGGUGCUAAAUAGCUAUUCAUCUCCCUUAUACCGGAAAGCGUUGUAAUGAUAAGCCGACCUAACCUGUUGGGGAUUUUUUCUGGAAACCUUUUAAGACAGUUCAUGUUAUUGAGUUCUGAAUAUUAGGCUAUAUUGCAAGGGGCUUUUUAAAAUCCACGUAGCAACCCUAUGAAAUCAGAAAUUGCCCUCGUUUUACAAAUGAGUUAAAUGAGACCAAGUAAAAGGUUAAACAGCUUGUCUAGUAAGCUGGGAUUUGUUCCCAGGCGGUCUAGCUCCAGAUUGCAUGCUUUUAAAUACUAGGCUUCAUGCAUAGAAUCUAGUAUUAUUAGCCGAUCCUAUUAUUAGUAUGUAUUGUUCUUUAGGAAGAAAAAACGUGUCAGGAUUGCUCACGUUUCCAAGCACGUUGAUACUUAAGAGUUAGGAAGGGCUUAACUCCGAAUGGGUAUGGUGUUACCCUAAGUGAGGUUCAAAAAGAUGGUGUGGGCAACAAUGCUAUUUUGGAAUGGCUUGAUCCUUUUGGGCUUCCAUAACAAAAUAUCCUAGACUGGGUAGUUUAUGAACCACAGAAGUUUAUUCUUCACAUUUCUGAAGGCUGGAAUGUCACAGAAUAAGGUGUGUCUAGGGAGGGGUGCUUUCUCUUUAGUGGAUAGCACCUUCUGGCUCUGUCCUCGCAUGGUGGAGAGGCAGAGGCCCUCGCUUGGGCCUAUUUUAUAAGGACCUUAAUCCCAUUCCUCACUUCCCAAGAUGCCACUUGCUAAAACCGUCAGUUCGGGAGUUAGGAUUUCAAAAUGUGCAUUUUGAGGGACACAUUUAGACCAUAGCGUAGGUCAUGUUUUUAAAGUUGCUUUCUUGGCCCUGGAAUGGCAAUGCAGUCAUCUGAAUUGGUCUUAACCUACCAGGAAUGGGCUUAUAUUUUGAAAAUAUUUCUCGAUAAGGGAGUAAAAUAAGUUGUAUGGGUUUUUUGUUUAAGAAAGGAUUCCUUUGUUUACUCUGGUAUGCUUAUCCACUUCUGUGAUGUCAACCAUGGGUAGUGACCUAACAUUAAUUUAAUUCAACAGAUAUCUUUGUCUGCCUUGAUUCCUGCAUCCCCUGGGCUCCACAGCUAUUCACUUGUAUUGAUUCUGUUAACUCUUACACAUUAACUUUGAGCUGUGUCUCCUUCCUUUUAUCAUUUUGUGAGUAAAGAAUUUUAAUUUGCCAACAAAUCCUAAUGUGGACUUUGUCACGUUGUGAAAUAAAGUGAUUUUUUGGUAUGGAAAUAUGUGUUAAGACAGACUGUUAGUCUUUGCACUUUAACAACUAGCUGAUACACUUACGUCACAUGGAUGAAAACAUACACAAGUGCACUGUUGUUGGAUAAGGACUCCUGGGUGGUUAGAAGAAUGUGCAGAUCUAACUACUCCCAUUAAGACCAUUGAUUAAAAUGAAAAAUGCUUAUAAAGGUGGAGAUCUCUCAGUUUUAGUCUUAUUGCGUGCCAGAAGCACUAAGGAAUUGCUGCUAAAUAUAAGACAAAUGGACUUGAGGAAAUCACUGAUGACUAACUUGAAACUCUGCCUCCUGAGAUCACACAGGUGAGUGGAAAAAACCAAGGCACAAAGCCAGUGAAGCCCCCUAAUUUGGAGAUGUGAGGGGUAGAAACAGAGAGUAUAGGGUAGAUGCAGUGUACAGAAAACACUGUUCUUGCUUCAUCACCAUGGAUUAAAAUCGUUUGAAAGCUUCAACGCUAGCGGGCAGUGUUUCAAGCAGAAAUCUGGCAGCUAGUGGAGUCUGAGUCCUUAUAUGGAAGGCAUCAUCAGUACCAGCAAGGACACACAUACAGCCACAAAGCAAGACCUAGGAGAAAUAUUUGGUGCUCUACUCUCCUAGGGAACUGGAAGGAACCUGCUCUCUCCUGGGUAUACUUUUCUAAUUUUAGAGUGCUAAAGAAGCUCUUCUCACAGGGACCCGAGUGAAUCCUUUCUCCUUGGAACAAAGGACAAGAAAAAAAGAAAGGACUUUACCGCAGAAAUGAUGAAGAUCAUGUCUCCAAGUCUUUUCUGCCGUUGCCAGUAUUCUCUCCCAAUCUCCUGUGGGCAACUUCUUCGGGAAAACACUCAUGCAAUUUCAUAAGGACAAGCGAAAAUAUGAAGAAGCUGGAUCUUGGAACUAGGCUUUGAUCACAGAGCGGAGCUGAGAUGAAAGUCCAUCCACUCAUUCAACAAAUAAUUGAGUACUUACAAAAAUUUCUGCUGUAUGGAGCUUAUAUAGUAGUGAAUAUCAAUUCUUAUUUUAUGGAUUAUAAAACAGAACUUUUUGCAACAAUUUUACACUACCCUAGGGGUACCUAUGAGUCUUCAUGCCUCAAGUAAUUGUCCUGUCCAUGUGACUAUGGAAGCCCUGAAAUCUUUGAAACCCCAGAUGACCCAUUUCACCAGACGCUUGGACAUUCUCCGUCGAGUUUGGAUUUAUAGUGGGUACCCAGAUUUAGGUCAAGGACAUAAAAUCUGAACCACUUUAGGCACUGCUCAUAAGGAGUAAAUUCCUAGUGAAAAAGCAAUGUCCCUCAGGAAUGAUUGCUAUAGCAGGCUAAAAGGUAGAUUUAUAAAUGUUUAUAAAAAGCAGAUUGGAUUUAGCAGAGGUAGCAGUGAUGACCAGGAGCAAUAGGAGGAAAUGUUCUUAAUAGUGCUGUUUGGUGGCAUCUUCUUUUUAUACAAAGAAGUCUUGCAAGCAUUUCUACUUGAAUGACUAAUUUGGAGUAAUUUUUAGUUUCUGUAUUUUUAUUAGUUAAUAGGAUCUAGGAAUAUAAUAACCUGGUGAGAAUUUCUUCGUGAAUGGCAAUCAAAUUUGUCUUAUUCAUGAAACUCAUAAAUAAGCUAUAAUCCAGCAUUUUAUAACUAGGGAAAAUAAAACUGGGGUCCUGCUGUUUAAGAGGCUAAGGCAAUUUAACAGAACACUGGGGGAUUUAUAGUAGAUUUAUGAUGAAGAUACAUUCUAACUGGAAGCUUAAUUGUGAUUUAAAUUAUAGGUCAAGCUGAGCAAUGUGUUUUCUUUUUAGGGGGAAAUCUUUAGAGAGUUAGAGUGUGCUUGUUUAAAGAGGAAACAGACCAAAUGAGAAAACAGAUUGCAUUUUCUGUUUUUCUUUUAAAAUUUCAAGCUGCUUUAAGUCAAAUUGCCCCUGAGUUCCUGAUGAUGGCUGUGGUGAAAUUGCCUUGUUUUACUUUCUUGCCUUCUUUUCCAGAGCAGUUAUUUUACCUGAAAAUAACAAAAAGAUAUAGGCAGCAUAUCAGCCAGAAAACUAAUAUGGAAACCAGAGAUAAAGUAUACUCAACCUGCCUAGAAUUGUGACAUCCUAUAAUUUUAGGCUGAGUUGUAUAAAAUUAGCAAGUAAUAUGGAUGAAAGGGCCUUUGAAAAAUUUUUGCCACUCAUUUUGCAAAUGGGAAAAUUGAGGCUUCUAGUGGUUUUCCUAAAUUUUUUAUCUCAAGUACUUUAAGGUCUCAUGAGGAAAUAAAAUUUAUGUACAAAUAAUUUUAAUUAAAAGUAUAAAAAGUUGUUUCCCUGAAAAAUAAAACUUAAAACAGAUAACAAAAGGUUGAUUCUGUAAGGAGGAUUUCUAUUGGGAAAAGGACAGUUAGAUUUGACAGCCCAGAUGCUUACUCUCUAACAUUUCCCUACCCCUUGGCAGAAUCCUUCAAUAAUUAACACCAGGACAACCACAUAGACUUCAGCCAUGGGUGUGUCAGGGGCAUUUGAACCAGAGCAACUCCAUCUUGAAUAGGGUCUGGGCAAAGUGAGGCUGAGACCCACUGGGCUGCAUUCCCAGGAGGUUAGGCAUUCUUAGUUACAGGAUGAGAUAGGAGGUUGGCACAAGAUACAGGUCACAAAGACCUUACUGAUAAAAUAAUAUGGUACAGAAGCUGGCCAAAACCCACCAAAACCAAGAUGGUGACGAAAGUAACCUCUGGUAGUCUUCACUGCUCAUUAUGUGCUAAUUAUAAUGCAUUAGCAUGCUAAAAGACACUCCUACCAGUGCCAUGACAGUUUACAAAUGCCAUAGCAAUGUCAGGAAGUUAUACUAUAUGGUCUAAAAAGAGGAGGAACUCUCAGUUCUGGGAAUUGCCCACCUCUUUCCUGGAAAACUCAGGAAUAAUACACCCCUUGUUUAGCAUAUAAUCAAAUAACUAUAAGUAUAAUCAGUCAAGCAGCCUAUGCCACUGCUCUGUCUAUGGAGUAGCCAUUCUUCUAUUCCUUUACUUUCCUAAUAAACUUGCUUUCACUUUACUCUGUGGACUCACCCCAAAUUCUUUCUUGCAUGAGGUCCAAGAACCCUCACUUAAAGUCUUGAUCAGGACCCUUUUCUGGUAACAUCUUCCUGGUGACCACAAUGAGAUUAAACUAAGGAGACUCCCUACCCAAAAGAAAUAGAUUAGAUCACCAAUUGUAUGACUUUGGGUAAGUGAUAGGAACCAUUUUACCUGGUUAAAGGAUGGAAUUGGGUUAGAGGCCCAACUUAGGAGAGUUAGAGCCUCUCCUAAGACAGAGAGCUUAAAGGCCCCUCUUAAUAAAAGGCAAGGACGCUUGAUGGAACUUAGGUUCAAGGCCCAAACUAGGAAGGUUAGAGUCCUUCCUAAGAUUAAGGGGGUUAGAAGCUCCUCUCAGUAAAGUCCUUCUUGGUUAAAAAUGGAUUUCACAUUAUGGGAUAUUAACCAUUAUUCUCUUUGUAUUAAUCUGCCUUGCACUGUUUGCUGAUGUCUGUGGGUGACAGGAUUAGGUGUAUAUAGGAUCACUGGAUAUGGGGAGCAUUUUCUCCCUAAAGGGGAAAUUUGAGAGCUGAUGAGACAAUUGGCCACCUGAACUUUAGAUUCAGUGUUGCUGCAAUGGAUCGGUCUUGUCUGGCCUCCCUGAGCUCCUCAUUUUCCUCACCCUGCUGCAGGCAAUGCUUUUCUCCCUUUCUUUCUUUCCUUUCUCUUUUCUAUCUUUUCUGUUACUCAGGGCAACUGUCUACGGUUUCAGUUUGCCCAGAAACCACAUGUGGAAACUCCUGGUCAGAAGAUCAUUCCACACCAAUUUGAGUGGAUCAAAGAUGAAAAGGCCCAACUAGAAUCAUGUUUGAGCCUUCCCAGUUUGAUACUGGGUGCUAAGCAGAGUGGCUAAUGUCUAUGUUUUGUCACAUUUAUUUUGCUCUGGCUGGUUUGGAAGAUGUUAAUUGGGUUACCCCAUGCAAUCUCUUGGGUGACAUCUUGCAAAAUUGAGAGGCUUUUGCCUAUGGUUUCAUGAAAUGGAAAAAGGUGAUUUUCCUUUGUGUUGUGGUUUGGCCCCUAGGGCUAUGGUGCCACAAGACAGGUCACUAGGGCUGCUCAGGGAAAGGGAACCCAGAAGCCUGGCAUGCCAGCAAAAGGGUAAGAAUUUCUUACCAUUCAGACUUCUGGCCUCUCUGUGCAAACGAGUUAUAGGAAUGGUAAACAUCCCUCUUUAUUCCUGUGUAAAGUUUUAAUUAAUAGGAAAAAGAAUUUUCCCAUUAAGUUAGUCUUAAGCUGUAGUGAAUUUGCUGUACUUUGUGCUAUAAAUUUGUCUUUCCAGAUUGUUCUGUCAGAAGGAGGGUUACCUUAGGAUAGAAUACAGGCUUAAGCCCCCAUUUGGUGGUUAAUACUGAGUAUCAAAUUGAUUGGAUUGAAGGAUGCAAAGUAUUGUUCCUGGGUGUGUCUGUGAGGGUGCUGCCAAAGGAGAUUAACAUUUGAGUUGGUGGACUGGGAGAGGCUGACCCACCCUCAAUCUGGAUGGGUACCAUCUAUUCAGCUGCCAGCUUGGCUAGGAUAAAAGCAGGCAGAGAAAUGUGGAAAGACUAAACUGGCUGAGUCUUCUGGCCUCCAUGUUUCUCCCAUGCUGGAUGCUUCCUGGCCUUGAACAUCAGACUCCAAGUUCUUUAGUUUAGGAUUCUUGGACUUAAACCAAUGAUUUGCCAGUGGCUCUUGGGUCUUCAGCUACAGACUGAAGGCUGCACUAUUAGCUUCCCUACUUUUCAGGUUUUAGGACUGGGACUGGCUUCCUGGCCUCUCAGCUUGCAGAUGGCCUAUUGUGGGACUUCACCUUGUAAUCAUGUGAGACAAUUCUCCUAAUAAAUUUCCCAUUCAUUUAUUCAUCUAUCUGCUAGUUCUGUCCCUUCAGAGAACCCUGACUAAUACACCCUAUAAGACUGCUGUUCAAGACAGCCCAUCAAACUGGUCACUUACAAACUUUGCUUCAGAUCCCUGAAACAAAACAAAACAAAACAAAAACAAAACUGAAGUUCCCCUCUUGUCUUGUUUUAUGUUCUUGGGAGCUUGACCUUAUAACCAUGUGGCAGUACUUCCUCUUUGUCUCUGCCAUUCAGAGAACAGGAACUUUGGGGUUCAUAUCAUAGUUAGCCCUAAAAAUUAUAUUGAGCAGUUAAAAGGCUUUGCAAGCUCAAAAUUGGCUGCUCUAGACUCCUUCUGGGAAGGGCAAUGGAGACUGCCCAGUGCCGUAGAACAACUUCUGACUUCCUUUCUUGAAUUUUCCUUUUUCUGAGUACCUGGGAGGUUACCUUUGGUAAAGUUCAAAAGCUACAAGUAUUUGCUGUUUUGCCUGGCUAGAGUCUGAUAAUGAGAUUUUUUUUUUUUAAAAGAAUGCUAUGGUUAAAAGUCAGCUUAAUUAAAAGUGGAUAUUCAAGCUCUAACAGCCUGGGACUCCUUGGGAAAAACAGGAGGCACUACAGACCCUGUUUGAGGAAAAACCUCUGCUUUCUUCAUGAAAACCCAGAAAUUGAAAUCAGAUAGAUCCCUCUCAAAAUCUAAGGCUCUCCUCUGUUUUGCACUGUGAUGUCUGACAGUAUUGACUUUUAGGGGUAUCAGAAAUUACUUUGCAUUAUGAGAGAGCUUUGGUGUGUAAUAACUAGGUAGGAAAUAUACUUUUGGGGAUGGCUAAUGGCAGUUAUAGGGAGAUACUUGGCAUUUUGCAUGUUUGGAUUAGAGAAUCAUGUUCUUGGCCACCUAGAAAGUAUGAAAAUGUCCCCAUUCCCCACUGAGAGAUGAGACUCCUAUGGGAGAUGGGUUGAUUCCCUCUUUUUUAAAAUUUAACUUUAAGUUCUGGGAUACAUGUGCAGGAUGUGCAGGUUUGUUACAUAGGUAAGCAUAUGCCAUGGAGGUUUGCUGCACCUAUCAACCUAUCAUCUAGGUAUUAAACCCCACAUGCAUUAGCUAUUUAUCCUGAUGCCCUCCCCGACAGGCCCCAGUGUGUGUUGUUCCCCUCCCUGUAUUCAUGUGUUCUCAUUGUUCAGCUCCCACUUAUAAGUGAGAACAUGUGGUGGUUGGUUUUCUGUUCCUGUGUUAGUUUGCUGAGGAUAAUGGCUUCCAGCUUCAGCCAUGUCCCUGCAAAGGACAUUAUCUCAUUCCUGAUUCCCUCUUUUCUUUGGGGAUCCAGGAUCUAAUAUAAAAAUGAGACCCUUAAUUUUGGGGCUCUGCUUUGCCUUCCAGCUGUGCCUGCUUAUUAGGCCCUGGAAACUGCAUGCUUUCCCAGUCCUGUUCCUCCAAGGGCUCCACCCUAAAGCCAGCAAUCCAAUUAAGAAACUUAAUGGAUUGUAAGCAAAUGGAAAAUCUUCCAAGUACUGGAUUUUCUGUCUGUCUGCAUAUUUACAUGUGUUGUGUGUGUGGUGUUUAUAUAUAAAAGAGCUCUGAUUAAUUGGUUUAAAGAUAAUAGGCAAUUAAAUCAAAUAUUAUCAGAAAAAUAAAAACAAAUGCCUUUUACUUCACGUGACUUUAAUAAUCUUUAGGAAUUAGAGACAGUUUUAAAGAUUAUUGGUAAAAUAAAGACAUUUGGUCUAAAUUGCGCCAGUCAGAUUUAGGUUUGCCAAAUGCUUUAAUAUCAUAAAGUGCUUUUUUAACUUGAUAAUUGUUCAACUUACCUGCUUUGGAGCCAUUAGAUUCCAGGUAAGGCAUGGGAACAUGUGGAGUUAGCCAUGCCCCCGGCUAUGCUGAAAAAGGACCUUAUCUGGACUUAUGUCUAGUGUCUUAGGCUCCACACCUGAUAGAUAAUUAAAAUCCUUACUUACCAGAUUUUUCACCAAAAAUAAAAGUUGCUCAGUUAGCAUUGUAACGUUUAAUUGAGUCUACUGAAUAAGCAGUUUUACAUACAAGGUGUGUAAGGACAGUGACGUGUUUUUGGUAAAAAAUUAUAAGAAGGCAUGGGAAUACGGAUUUUUUUGGCCUAGUUUAGAGGCUUAAAAACUUUUUUCAAGCUAGAUAGAAAAAAGCUGAAGGUUUAAACAAGUUGUGGAAGGUUUGUGAACAAUUAAUCUUAUAAAAGAAAUUCUGUGUGUGAACAUAUUAGCUAAAAUUAAAGGAGGUAUUAUUCAGUUUUUUUCAUAAAUUGAACAUUGGAAUAAAAGCACAACAGGGUUUUCUUAGAGCAGUGAUCUACUCUUUAAGAAAAAAUUGUAAAGGGUUAUAAAAGGUUUAUGAGAAUCUUACCUUAUGAUCUAACUGAUUAAGAUUGGAUAGAUUAGUCUAUAAGGUUUUUUUUUUAAGAAUUAGGUUUGGCAUCAAUACUGCAUUAAUGCAAAGGUGAAAUUUGGCUUUCUCUGUUGAACAAGGUUUUCAUGUUAUAUUAAAAAAUACGAAAAUGUUUUUGUUUGCCUUUUAAAUAAACUAUAAGAAAAAGAAGGGAAAGGAAAGAGUCAGAUUGUUUGGAAAGCUAAGUCUUCCCUCUAUUAAGAAGUAAAAGAUGUAUUUGUGUAAAUAUGUUUUAGGUAUGUGUUCCAAAAUUAUGGGAAACUCCUAUAAUUCUGAUAUGAUUUAGUGGAUGUUAUUAAUAGUCAUAAUUAUUAUGUAAAAUUGUUGUAUGCCACAGAAGUAACCAAAAUUUUCUUGUCAAUUGUGGCUUUAAUAGUGGCUGUUCUAAGACUUUUUGUCAACCAUGGACAAUUGCUGUCUUAUUUUGAUCCCCUUCAAAAGGUGGUUUAUAAUCAGCUAUAAGACUUUGACAGGUGCUCUUGAAUGCAGGUUUCUGAUAACUUUGGAGACUGUGACAUUAUAAUAGAGGAAAAACUUUCAGAACUCUCAUGGAGGGCUGAACUGUUCAUGAAUAUCAAGCAGAACAGGCGUUAAUUGCAUGGACUGAACUAAUAGAAGCCUAAAGUAAUCUUUUUUGGCUUUUGGCUUAAAACAUUGCUGAUCCUUUGUUUUGUUUCUCAGAGCCAAGAAACUUUUCUUUUGAGCUAUUUACAACUUUUAAGAAUUGAGUAAAGUAUUGAUAUGGUUUGGCUGUGUCCCCACCCAAAUCUCAUCUUGAAUUGUAGCUCCCAUAAUCCCCAUGUGUCAUGGGAGGGACCCAUUGGGAGGCAAUUGAAUCACGGGGAUGGGUUUUUCCCGUGCUGUUCUCAUGAUAGUAAGUCUCAUGAGACCUGAUGGUUUUAUAAAGGGCAGUUCCCCUGCACAUGCUCUCUUGCCUGGCACCAUGUAAGACAUGCCUUUGCUCCUCCUUCACCUUCUGCCAUGAUUGUGAGGCCUCCCCAGCCAUGUGGGAAGGGGACUGUAAGUCCAUUAAACCUCUUUUUCUUUAUAAAUUACUCAGUCUCAGGUAUUUCUUCAUAGCAGUAUGAAAACGGACUAAUACAAUUAUACUUCUGUGAACAAAAUUUGGAGCAUAUUUGUUUCUUGCUACCUGAUUUUUCCAGAAUUUGGAAACCAUUUGUGAGUAUUCUUAACUUAUGAUAACAUAGUUAUUUGCAUAAGUGCAAUAAGAAUCUGUUUUCUUUUGUAACAGGACACAAUUGGAGAAAGUGAUUAUUUUACUAAGGCUUUGACUGGAAUGGCAUGCUUAACCUUUAGAACCAGUAAAGGCCCCUUGGGAAAACUGGCCUCAUAGCUUGUCUAUGAAGUCCCUGUACAGAGUUCUUGACCUGUGGUAUGUAAAGAAUGUAAUUUUCUGACAGACCCAGGAGCCCCAGGUUAUCUUGAGACCUCAAGAGGAGCCAACUCACAUAGAUGCCACAUUUUGUUGGAACUCAGAGUUAUGAGUGGCCCUCGCCAUACCUACACUUUCUGACUGAGCUCCUCUCUACCCUGAAUACAAGAGACCCUAAUAGGCAGGAAUAUCAUCACCCCUCUUCAGCCUGAAGAUGUUACAGAAGAUGGAUAUUUGUCCGUUUACAACCCUUAAGAUUAAGGGUUCCCCUGUAAAAGGGAGGGGGAAAAUAUGUCAGAGAUGUUUGAACCAGAGCAACUUCGUCCUGAAUAGUGGCUCGGUAAAGUGAGGCUGACACCUAUGGACUGCAUUCCCAGGAGGUUAGGCAUUCUUAGUUACGGGAUGAAAUAGGAGUUUGGCACAAGAUGGGUCAUAAAGACCUUGCUGAUAAAAGGAUGUGGUACAGAAGCUGGCCAAAACUCACCAAAAUCAAGAUGUGAUGAAAGUGACUUCUGGUAGUCCUCACUCCUCAUUACACUAAUUAUAAUGCAUUAGCAUGCUAAAAGACACGUUCACCAGCACCAUUAUGGUUUACAAAUGCCAUGGCAAUAUCAGCAAGUUACCCUAUAUGGUCUUAAAAGGGGAGGAACCCUCAGUUCUGGGAAUUGCCCACCACUUUCCCAGGAAACUCAUGAAUAAUCCACCCUUUAUUUAGCAAAUAAUCAAGAAAUAACUAUAAGUAUAAUCAGUUGAGCAGCCCAUGCCACUGCUCUGCCUGUGGAAUAGCCACUCUUUUAUUCCUUUACUUUUUUAAUAAACUUGUUUUCACUUUAC